GACGAACCGAGCGACCGUUAUUCGGAAUCACUGGGCGUAAAGGGCGCGUAGGUGGCCCGACAAGUCACUGGUGAAAGCUCGACGCUCAACGUCGAGUCGGCCAGUGAUACUGUUGGGCUGGAGCACUGUAGAGGCUCAUGGAAUUCCGGGUGUAGCGGUGGAAUGCGUAGAGAUCCGGAAGAACACCGGUGGCGAAGGCGGUGAGCUGGGCAGUAGCUGACACUGAGGCACGACAGCGUGGGGAGCAAACAGG
RNAcentral lists this ribosomal RNA (253 nucleotides) under uncultured bacterium. RNAcentral's name for it is "partial 16S ribosomal RNA". It matches the Rfam family "Bacterial small subunit ribosomal RNA", at positions 524 to 776 of the family's 1533-position model. The record is from RNAcentral.